RNAcentral lists this ribosomal RNA (154 nucleotides) under Rhizoctonia solani. Its description in RNAcentral is "5.8S ribosomal RNA". It matches the Rfam family "5.8S ribosomal RNA". From Rfam's summary of the family: 5.8S ribosomal RNA (5.8S rRNA) is a component of the large subunit of the eukaryotic ribosome. It is transcribed by RNA polymerase I as part of the 45S precursor that also contains 18S and 28S rRNA. The record is from RNAcentral. Lineage: Eukaryota; Fungi; Basidiomycota; Agaricomycetes; Cantharellales; Ceratobasidiaceae.
CAACAACGGAUCUCUUGGCUCUCGCAUCGAUGAAGAACGCAGCGAAAUGCGAUAAGUAAUGUGAAUUGCAGAAUUCAGUGAAUCAUCGAAUCUUUGAACGCACCUUGCGCUCCUUGGUAUUCCUUGGAGCAUGCCUGUUUGAGUAUCAUGAAAU